UACAGAGGCCUCGAGCGUUAGGCGGAAUCACUGGGCUUAAAGCGUGUGUAGGCGGACUUCUAAGUACCUUGUGAAAUCCCACGGCUUACCCGUGGAACGGCUGGGUAUACUGGGAGUCUUGAGCCACCUAGGGGCGAGUGGAACAAAUGGUGGAGCGGUGAAAUGCGUAGAUAUCAUUUGGAACGCCAAUGGUGAAAACAGCUCGCUGGGGAUGUACUGACGCUGAGACACGAAAGCCAGGGGAGCAAACGGG
RNAcentral lists this ribosomal RNA (253 nucleotides) under uncultured bacterium. Its description in RNAcentral is "partial 16S ribosomal RNA". It matches the Rfam family "Bacterial small subunit ribosomal RNA", at positions 524 to 776 of the family's 1533-position model. The record is from RNAcentral.